UAAAAGCCUUUGAAAGGGAGAGUAGAAUAUAUUCCUUUGUUUUAGCGAGCUGGGAUGGUGGGAGCCAGUAUAAAGCUAUAUUCGAAGAGGACCCUUGAGGAUAUAUCUGAAACAGAGUAGGAUAUUACGUUAGUUGCGUUAAAAACUUCGAGUGGGCCAUGGCCAACAAGAGUGGUAACACGGGAUAGCUCUCGUCUCUUAU
RNAcentral lists this non-coding RNA (202 nucleotides) under Schnuerera ultunensis. RNAcentral's name for it is "Clostridium ultunense T-box sequence". It matches the Rfam family "T-box leader". From Rfam's summary of the family: Uncharged tRNA acts as the effector for transcription antitermination of genes in the T-box leader family. T-boxes are found upstream of many aminoacyl-tRNA synthetase genes and some amino acid biosynthetic genes usually in Gram-positive bacteria. Lineage: Bacteria; Bacillati; Bacillota; Tissierellia; Tissierellales; Tepidimicrobiaceae. The record is from RNAcentral. RNAcentral also lists the same sequence under 1 other name.